GUCUAAUUGUUCUAUCUAUUUUUGGGAGGGUGUGUUAAAAUCUUCAAAUAUAAUUGUGUAUUUUUUUCUUUUCAGUUCUAUUAGCUUUUGCCUCAUAUAUUUUGUGGCUGUAUUAUUUUUUAGUGCAUAAACAUUUAAAAUUGCUGUUUUCUUGGCAGAUUGAACCUGUUACUACUAUCAGAUGUGCUUCCCCAUCUCUGAGCUUGAAAACUAUUAUGCUACUUUCUUCUGUCACUCGUGGAUUCUGAUGAGAAAUUUGCUGUCAUUCGAAUGUUUUUCCUCUAUAGGUAAAGUAUCAUUUCUCUCUAUCUGCUUUCAAGAUUUUUUUCUUUGUCUUUAGUUUUCAGAAGUUUGUCUAUGAUGUACAUUGGUGUGGAUUUCUUUGUAUAUGUCAUCUUUGGGAUUUAGUCAGCUUCAUGAACCUGUAUGUUUAUUUCUCUUGCCAAAUUGGUGAAGGUUUCAACAAUUAUUUCUUUGAAUAUUUGUAAAAUCACAUCCCCUUUCUCCUCUUCUUCUAUGACUCCAGUGACAUGGAUAUUACAUCUUUGUUAUAGCGUCAUAUUUUCCUGAGGCUCCAUCCGUCAUUUUUCUGUAUGUUUCCUCUCUAUUGUUCAGAUUGGGUAAUUUCUAUCGUUCUAUUUUCAAGUUCUCAGAUUCUUCCCUCUGACUUCUCCAUUCUACUGCUGAGCCCAUCUAUUGGGUUUUAAUUUCAGUUAUUGUAUUUUUUAAUUCUAAAACUUCCAUCACAUCCUCCUUUAUAUUUUUCUCUCUUUGCUGAAGCUUUCUAUUUCUUUGCUCAAGUUUCUAUUUUUUCACUUGCUUCAAGCAUGAUUGCUUAUUGAAGCACUUUUAUGACAGUUGCUUUAAAAUUCUUUCAGAUAAUUCUAACAACUGUAUCAUGUUAGUGUUGGAAACUAUUGACUGUCUUUUCUCAUUCAGUUUCAGAUCUUCCUGGUUCUUGGUAUAACAAGUGAUUUGAUUGAAAAUGGACAUUUUGGGUAUUAUGUUGUAAGACUCUACAUCUUAUUUACUUUUUUUUUUUUUGAGACAGUCUCACUCUGUUGC
Long non-coding RNA from Callithrix jacchus (white-tufted-ear marmoset), 1065 nucleotides. The record is from Ensembl. NCBI's taxonomy places the organism in Eukaryota, Metazoa, Chordata, Mammalia, Primates, Cebidae.